GAUGAACGCUGGCGGCGUGCCUAAUACAUGCAAGUCGAGCGAACGGACGAGAAGCUUGCUUCUCUGAUGUUAGCGGCGGACGGGUGAGUAACACGUGGAUAACCUACCUAUAAGACUGGGAUAACUUCGGGAAACCGGAGCUAAUACCGGAUAAUAUUUUGAACCGCAUGGUUCAAAAGUGAAAGACGGUCUUGCUGUCACUUAUAGAUGGAUCCGCGCUGCAUUAGCUAGUUGGUAAGGUAACGGCUUACCAAGGCAACGAUGCAUAGCCGACCUGAGAGGGUGAUCGGCCACACUGGAACUGAGACACGGUCCAGACUCCUACGGGAGGCAGCAGUAGGGAAUCUUCCGCAAUGGGCGUAAGCCUGACGGAGCAACGCCGCGUGAGUGAUGAAGGUCUUCGGAUCGUAAAACUCUGUUAUUAGGGAAGAACAUAUGUGUAAGUAACUGUGCACAUCUUGACGGUACCUAAUCAGAAAGCCACGGCUAACUACGUG
This 497-nucleotide ribosomal RNA is filed under the name uncultured bacterium. RNAcentral describes it as "partial 16S ribosomal RNA". It matches the Rfam family "Bacterial small subunit ribosomal RNA", at positions 28 to 507 of the family's 1533-position model. The record is from RNAcentral.